Molecule: ribosomal RNA, 359 nt
Filed under: uncultured bacterium
Lineage: Bacteria
Description: bacterial SSU rRNA
Rfam family: Bacterial small subunit ribosomal RNA
Source: RNAcentral
AACGAACGCUGGCGGCAGGCCUAACGCAUGCAAGUCGAACGCCGUAGCAAUACGGAGUGGCAGACGGGUGAGUAACACGUGGGAACCUUCCCGAUGGUACGGAAUAGCUCAGGGAAACUUGGGGUAAUACCGUAUAAGCCCGAAAGGGGAAAGAUUUAUCGCCAUUGGAUGGGCCCGCGUCGGAUUAGCUAGUUGGUGAGGUAAUGGCUCACCAAGGCGACGAUCCGUAGCUGGUCUGAGAGGACGACCAGCCACACUGGGACUGAGACACGGCCCAGACUCCUACGGGAGGCAGCAGUGGGGAAUAUUGGACAAUGGGCGAAAGACCUGAUCCAGCCAUGCCGCGUGAGUGAUGAAGG